CCAAUAGCGGCCGCUGGCCGGCUGGACUUGUCCGGUUGGUUCACGGCUGGCUACAGCGGGGGAGACAUUUAUCACAGCGUGUCUCAUGCCCGGCCCCGCUGGUUCUGGUUUUGCCUACUCCUGCUCGCUGCAGGGGUAGGCAUCUACCUCCUCCCCAACCGAUGAAGGUUGGGGUAA
Molecule: regulatory RNA element, 177 nt
Rfam family: Hepatitis C virus (HCV) cis-acting replication element (CRE)
Source: Rfam